GGCUGUUCUUGGGUGACGCACCCCAGAAUUGGCUCCCUCUCUGGUUCCAGGUGCGUCAUCCAAGAACCACA
Myotis davidii is the source of this 71-nucleotide non-coding RNA. NCBI's taxonomy places the organism in Eukaryota, Metazoa, Chordata, Mammalia, Chiroptera, Vespertilionidae. The record is from Rfam.